UUCACAUAUUAAACUCACUUCUGGAUUACCAGCGAGACUGAUUAAUACCUCUGUUCAGUUAAGCAAAAAUGGCCGGAAGGAAAUUGAGUCCUUUAUUUUGUAAUAAGGGAGGGGUGUGAGAGCCUUUUGUCCAUUGUUAAUAAUCCAACAAAUCUGAUUGUUAUACAUCGUGUAGAUUUAUUUGGUUCGCAUGAUGGGCACAUUU
This 205-nucleotide small nucleolar RNA is filed under the name Lodderomyces elongisporus NRRL YB-4239. The record is from RNAcentral. Lineage: Eukaryota; Fungi; Ascomycota; Pichiomycetes; Serinales; Debaryomycetaceae.